This is a long non-coding RNA of Zalophus californianus (California sea lion), 1879 nucleotides long. The record is from Ensembl. Lineage: Eukaryota; Metazoa; Chordata; Mammalia; Carnivora; Otariidae.
CUGGGGGGUCAUUGUGUCCACCCUUCUCCGCUCCUUAAGUGCUGGGAACAAUCAAAUGAGGUGGUACAAGUGUGAAGUGCACGGAUGUGGACUGUCAUGGAGUAAAUGCAGACCGAGGGGAGACUGUUCUUUCUAAAGAGGCAGCAGGGACAGCCACAGAGCUAGUCGUGGUGACAUGGUUUCAUCCCGGUUCUGCCCCACGGUCUCUGCAGGAGGGAGGGUAAGUCAUGGUCUCUCUCUGAGCCCACAUUCUACAAGGGUUUGAAAAGGAUCGGGGGGCGGGGGAUGACUCUGACUGUCUGCAUUUUGCGUUCGCUGGCUUGUCAUUUACACAUUUUUCAAGAAAUCCUAGUGUGGAUAUUUACAAGUACCGGCGUUUCCUGGGAUCAACAAAGGAGUUUAAAAACAUCAUAAUGCUUCAAGGAGUCAUGAGAGAGCAGAGAUUGCUCGAGGCCUCCCCCAGGGGUAGAGUGGGAAUGAAGACGGAGCACCACCAUAACAAGAUCGGGUCUCUAGGGAGAAGGUGGCAAGACUGGACCUCAAGGAAGCCAGAAGAACCUCGAGGGGCAGAGGAAGAUUUUUCCUCCUCAGUAGUUGGCCUAACUGGCAGAAUAGACUUCCCUGGCCAGAGACGCUGCAGAGGAGAGAUCCUAGGACGAACCGCCCAGCAGAGGUAAGAAUUCUUACCCUGUCAACAGCCCGGACUCUCUUUCUGUGGGGUCUGGUGGAGCCAAAGUGGGGAGAGUCCUUUUUCUAUCUCUAAAUUGAGAUGAGCAGGAAAAUGUUUGGGGAAGUAGUUCCUUGGGUUUAGUGACUCUGGUAAAUUUGGGUUUUAUGGAUCCAUUUCCUCUCAGAGAGAGUCACUGCUUUUCUCUGUGUCUUUCGUGUCAUUUGUCGUAAGAAGGAAAAACUAUAGGGUAUGAACGCAGGUGUAGGUCCUCUAAGUCUGCAGCUGGAGUGGCCUUAGACUCGGGGAGCUCAUGGUUCUCACCAGACCAGUGUCUGUUUAGACAGCUGUGCUGUGGGUCAACGUGCACAUGAGGUAAAGGCUGUUGCUAAGGGACCUCUUGGAAGCCAAAGUCACAAAAUUGGUGGGCACAGAUGAGCACUUACGAACUGUUAGAGCACUUGCCACCUAACCCCGAGACUCCCUUUUUCAGAUAAGUGGGCCACAGAAUGGGUUAAGGGGACACUAGGUCACCUGACAACCUCAAGGACACUUCCGUGGGUCCAGGUGCUCUGUAAGACAGCACACAGUCCCCCACCCUGUAGCGCAUGCCUCCGAGGGACCGAAGGUUUAGCUAAAGCUGUUAAUGUGCAUAUUAAAAAAAAACCGGGUGAGGUUUUUCCUUUCAUCUUGUUCUGGGUUCUGAGAGCUUCACUUUACGACCAGCAAGAAUACUCUCUCUGGUCUCCAUCAUCGAGAGGAGCACUUAUUAGAAGUGGAAGAGGCUGGUGCUCCAAGAUCUCCUCUUUGCCCAGCUGUGCCAGCUCUCGGGGGGGAAAAAAAGAUUUUAGGGGUGCCCGGCUGGCUCCAUCGAUAGAGCAUGUGACUUCUGAUCUCGGCAUUAUGAGUUAGAGCCCCACGUUGGGUGUAGAGAUGACUUAAAAAUAAAAUCUUAAAAAAAAAAGACCUUAAAGCCACAAUUCUUGCUUUUGCAACCUGAAUCUUCGGAAAGGCAAAAGCUUGACUCUGAGAGAAUGCAAAGCCCAUUCCCUAUCUUCCUCCAGACGAUUGCAGAUGUUGCAAGAACCUAGAACAUUAAAAGAAAAAUUGUGCUGGACUUAAGAAAAAAGGAGAGUUUGGGGCGCCUGGGUGGCUCAGUCACUGAGUGUCUGCCUUCGGCUCAGGUCAUGAUCCCGGGGUCCUGGGAUCGAG